This is a long non-coding RNA of Columba livia (rock pigeon), 1451 nucleotides long. RefSeq lists it as uncharacterized. Lineage: Eukaryota; Metazoa; Chordata; Aves; Columbiformes; Columbidae. The transcript is spliced from 2 exons. The record is from RefSeq and is a predicted model, not a curated record.
UUGUGCUGAUAUACUGCUUAUUGAAUAUGAUUGUGUUAUAAAAGUCUACAGAUUCUUAAAGAAGGCACCUACUUUUUCAUAAAAAUAUUUGAAUAUUAGACCACAUCUAAGUGAUGGUGGCUCAAAAUUUCAUUCCAGGCAAGUUAAACCAAAUUACAGUCGUAGAAAGGAAGUAAGUUCUACCCCAAAAUAGCCUGUGAUCUAAUAGAAAGUAGUUCAUCCUUACAGCUCAUCCUGCAUUUUUCAUCACCAGCACCCUCCAUCUGUGCAUUACUUGUGUUGCUAUGAAUUUGGCAACAUUUUAGCAGCGAGCUACUGUUUAUAAGAAGGGAUCCCAGCAGCUAAAAGCAGCCAGUCGUUGGAUUACUCAUUACUUGCUUUGUGAGCUGCUCCAGGGAAUUUCUUGAAGAACUAUGUCAAAAUUAGCUUUAGAAAACCAGUAAUUUCAAGCGCUUCCAGAUAAGCACUGGUUAAGUCGGGGGGCUUGGAAGAAAGAUUCUUUUUGUUUGUACUGAGUGAAGAUUUUCUUCUUUUGUGCAAAGAAACAAGAGGAUAAAAAAGGACAACGUUUUCCUCUAUGCAAGAAGGAAUCUGAUUCAUUGGGAUCUCAAUCACCAAAACACCAUGAAUGCUUGCAGGAGGAUACAUUCUCUCCGUGCUCACAGACAGAAAACCAAUGGGAACAGAAGUGAGACCUGGCACAGCACCUCUGGCUUCAAGCACCAGCAUGGAGAUGAUCUUGCUACAGUCCAGACCCUCUACACAGUGAUUAUUAUGAUUCUUCUAAUGGCAAUCUGGGGAGCCUGGUCAAGAAGGGAUUCAUCCUUGUAGCAGCAGUAUGUUUUCUUUAUUAAAUACUUAACGGAAUAUUUGUGUCAAUUAUCCAUACCCAGGAGGUAUGAAAAAAAUGAUCUUGGCAUAUCUCAGUUUACUUGAAACUGCUUAAACUGUUGCUACUUGUGGAACUGGAUCUGUGAAGCAAUUUAAUAGGCAAUGUACAGAACAUGACUUUGUGAAUAACAUAUACCUGUUCACACUGUAAACAUGUUUAUAUUAUCCUUUGCAUGUAUAUGAAACUUAUUUUAAACACAAUAUGCUAGCAAGAAGAAGAGUUCAACUAAUGUUUUUCUUGGUCAAUAUUUUAUAUAUCCACUCCAGCUUUCCAUUUUUGAACUUAAGUUGUCCAGUCUCUACCUCUGCUAAGAUUACCUGUCCCAAUCCAUGGUAAAGCAUACACUGUAAACAGGCAAGUAAUCUACCAUGCCACAAUAACAUUAAAAAAAAAUAAAAAUCAAUAUAACCAGCUAUCUUACAGGCAAAGGAAGAUCUCUGAACAAGUUAAAUUCUCAUCUCAGUUGCUGUAGAGUUUCUAUGAAGGAUGGAGCUUGCUUCUGCAUAUUUUUAAUUUAGGGUAAUACCUUUGUAAACUCAGGAAUAAACCCAUGAAAUAA